Non-coding RNA from Ceratotherium simum simum (southern white rhinoceros), 500 nucleotides. NCBI's taxonomy places the organism in Eukaryota, Metazoa, Chordata, Mammalia, Perissodactyla, Rhinocerotidae. The record is from RefSeq and is a predicted model, not a curated record.
GAAGAAAAUAUCCUGUGAGAAAUCAGGGAAGAGGCAGAGCCAUGAGGUCCUAAAGGAACCCUCUAGUCCUGGAUUCAAGAGAAGUUUCCAGAACUGUGAUUACAGACUCAAGACAGGAUCAGGAAACAUGAGGAAAGUACACAUGUGGGGACUGGAACAACCACCCUCCCGGGGGUCUGUCCUCAGCAGUGACCUUCCCUUCUGUCCUGUAACUGUUGGGAAUCAGGUCCCCAUCACCAGACUCAUCAAGGUGAUAAAUUUGUCCUUCAUUUCCACAUGCGCUUUACUAAAGAGUAAGUGUUAGCAAACAGGGCCCCAGGCGAGGAAAGCACAUGUGCCUGUGGAUGGGACUUCCCAUUAACGAGGCAGGACAAACUUCUACCUGGGCUUGAAACUCCCCAAUGGGACAAGAAAACUCUGACCACACUCCUUGCCUACCUGAGCCCUUCUUCCUCCAGAUCACAGCUCCAGCCACCACAGCUCCAAGGAGACCCAGGCGA